Molecule: non-coding RNA, 30 nt
Filed under: Rattus norvegicus (Norway rat)
Lineage: Eukaryota; Metazoa; Chordata; Mammalia; Rodentia; Muridae
Source: RNAcentral
UACAAACAGGUGUAGACAUUGUGUGUUUGU